CUCAGAGGGGUGGGGGCCCUCAGCCCAGAUUGUGAGAGGGCGCAGGCCAGGCUGAGGGACCCCACCAGUGCACA
Molecule: non-coding RNA, 74 nt
Organism: Myotis davidii
Lineage: Eukaryota; Metazoa; Chordata; Mammalia; Chiroptera; Vespertilionidae
Source: Rfam